CAUAUUAUAGUUUAUAAAAAACCAUGAAUUGCAAGUUCACAAAAAGAUUAACCAUAAUCUUAGUAUGU
Molecule: transfer RNA, 68 nt
Filed under: Viviparus viviparus
Lineage: Eukaryota; Metazoa; Mollusca; Gastropoda; Architaenioglossa; Viviparidae
Description: tRNA-Cys
Source: RNAcentral